This 369-nucleotide ribosomal RNA is filed under the name uncultured bacterium. Its description in RNAcentral is "bacterial SSU rRNA". It matches the Rfam family "Bacterial small subunit ribosomal RNA", at positions 46 to 382 of the family's 1533-position model. The record is from RNAcentral.
GGAUUAGGCAUGCAAGUCGAACGGGAUCCUUAAGAUUCAAUUCUUCGGAAGAGAAUUUUUUUGGUGAUAGUGGCGAACGGGUGAGUAACGCGUGGGCAAGCUGCCCUGAAGCUCGGGAUAGCUUCGAGAAAUCGAAGGUAAUACCGAAUGUGAUCGCCUCGCGCAUGUGAGGUUAUUUGAAGGUGGGGAUCUUCGGACCUGCCACUUCAGGAUGCGCCCGCGUCCCAUCAGCUAGUUGGUGAGGUAACGGCUCACCAAGGCAAAGACGGGUAGCUGGUCUGAGAGGAUGGUCAGCCACACUGGGACUGAGACACUGCCCAGACUUCUACGGAAGGCUGCAGUCGAGAAUCUUUCGCAAUGCCCGAAAGG